Molecule: ribosomal RNA, 497 nt
Filed under: uncultured bacterium
Lineage: Bacteria
Description: partial 16S ribosomal RNA
Rfam family: Bacterial small subunit ribosomal RNA
Source: RNAcentral
GAUGAACGCUGGCGGCGUGCCUAAUACAUGCAAGUCGAGCGAACAGACGAGGAGCUUGCUCCUCUGACGUUAGCGGCGGAUGGGUGAGUAACACGUGGAUAACCUACCUAUAAGACUGGGAUAACUUUGGGAAACCGGAGCUAAUACCGGAUAAUAUAUUGAACCGCAUGGUUCAAUAGUGAAGGACGGUUUUGCUGUCACUUAUAGAUGGAUCCGCGCCGCAUUAGCUAGUUGGUAAGGUAACGGCUUACCAAGGCAACGAUGCGUAGCCGACCUGAGAGGGUGAUCGGCCACACUGGAACUGAGACACGGUCCAGACUCCUACGGGAGGCAGCAGUAGGGAAUCUUCCGCAAUGGGCGAAAGCUUGACGGAGCAACGCCGCGUGAGUGACGAAGGUCUUCGGAUCGUAAAACUCUGUUAUUAGGGAAGAACAAAUGUGUAAGUAACUAUGCACGUCUUGACGGUACCUAAUCAGAAAGCCACGGCUAACUACGUG